RNAcentral lists this unclassified non-coding RNA (253 nucleotides) under uncultured Planctomycetia bacterium. RNAcentral describes it as "contains 16S-23S intergenic spacer region". It matches the Rfam family "Bacterial small subunit ribosomal RNA", at positions 524 to 776 of the family's 1533-position model. Lineage: Bacteria; Pseudomonadati; Planctomycetota; Planctomycetia. The record is from RNAcentral.
GACGAACCGAGCGAACGUUGUUCGGAAUCGCUGGGCUUAAAGGGCGCGUAGGCGGGCAUCCAAGUCUGUGGUGAAAUCCGGCAGCUUAACUGUCGAAUUGCCAUGGAUACUGGGUGUCUCGAGGGAGGCAGGGGUGCGCGGAACUAAUGGUGGAGCGGUGAAAUGCGUUGAUAUCAUUAGGAACUCCGGUGGCGAAGGCGGCGCACUGGUCCUUUUCUGACGCUGAGGCGCGAAAGCCAGGGGAGCAAACGGG